AUUGAACGCUGGCGGCAUGCCUUACACAUGCAAGUCGAACGGCAGCACGGGUGCUUGCACCUGGUGGCGAGUGGCGAACGGGUGAGUAAUACAUCGGAACAUGUCCUGUAGCGGUGGAUAGCCCGGCGAAAGCCGGAUUAAUACCGCAUACGAUCUACGGAUGAAAGCGGGGGACCUUCGGGCCUCGCGCUAUAGGGUUGGCCGAUGGCUGAUUAGCUAGUUGGUGGGGUAAAGGCCUACCAAGGCGACGAUCAGUAGCUGGUCUGAGAGGACGACCAGCCACACUGGGACUGAGACACGGCCCAGACUCCUACGGGAGGCAGCAGUGGGGAAUUUUGGACAAUGGGCGAAAGCCUGAUCCAGCAAUGCCGCGUGUGUGAAGAAGGCCUUCGGGUUGUAAAGCACUUUUGUCCGGAAAGAAAUCCUUGGCCCUAAUACGGUCGGGGGAUGACGGUACCGGAAGAAUAAGCACCGGCUAACUACGUG
Molecule: ribosomal RNA, 486 nt
Filed under: uncultured bacterium
Lineage: Bacteria
Description: partial 16S ribosomal RNA
Rfam family: Bacterial small subunit ribosomal RNA
Source: RNAcentral